CGCCUUCCACCGCAGUGCCUGACGGGAGGCGGAGCGGCGAACGAGGCCGUCGGCCAUUUUGUGUCUGCUUCCUGUGGGACGCCGUGGUAGCCGU
Aotus nancymaae (Ma's night monkey) is the source of this 94-nucleotide microRNA precursor. NCBI's taxonomy places the organism in Eukaryota, Metazoa, Chordata, Mammalia, Primates, Aotidae. The record is from Ensembl.